UCCCCCUAUCGAGGGCAGUCUCGUCUGAAAAAUCCAACAGACGACGAGGGUUUCGCUCGUUUACCCACUUAAGGGUACAGCUCACGCCACGAGCUGACGACAGCCGUGCAACACCUGUCUUGCCGUUCCCUUACGGGCACGGUCCUGUUUCCAGGACGUUCGGCAGAUGUCAAACCCUGGUAAGGUUCUCCGGUUAUCGUCGAAUUAAACCACAUGCUCCACCGCUUGUGCGAGCCCCCGCCAAUUCCUUUGAGUUUUAGUCUUGCGACCGUAGUUCCCAGGUGGCACACUUAACGCGUUAGCUUCGCUACAAGAAGGGUCGAUACUUCUGAUAGCUAGUGUGCAUCGUUUACGGCGUGGACUAC
RNAcentral lists this unclassified non-coding RNA (365 nucleotides) under uncultured bacterium. RNAcentral's name for it is "contains 16S-23S intergenic spacer region". The record is from RNAcentral.